GCCCUUUUCCGGUUGAUCCUGCCGGAGGUCACUGCUAUCGGUGUUCGACUAAGCCAUGCGAGUCAAAUGUUCUUCGUGAACAUGGCGUACUGCUCAGUAACACGUGGAUAACCUGCCCUUAGGUCUGGCAUAACCCCGGGAAACUGGGGAUAAUUCCGGAUAGAUUAUAGAUGCUGGAAUGCCCUGUAAUCCAAAGCUAUUGUGCCUAAGGAUGGGUCUGCGGUCUAUCAGGUUGUAGUGGGUGUAAUGUACCUACUAGCCUACGACGGAUACGGGUUGUGGGAGCAAGAGCCCGGAGAUGGAUUCUGAGACAUGAAUCCAGGCCCUACGGGGCGCAGCAGGCGCGAAAACUUUACAAUGCGGGAAACCGCGAUAAGGGGACACCGAGUGCCAGCAUCCUAUGUUGGCUGUCCAUAUGUAUAAAUCACAUGUGUUAGCAAGGGUCGGGCAAGACCGGUGCCAGCCGCCGCGGUAACACCGGCGGCCCGAGUGGUGGCCACUAUUAUUGGGUCUAAAGGGUCCGUAGCCGGUUUGGUCAGUCUUCCGGGAAAUCUGACGGCUCAACCGU
RNAcentral lists this ribosomal RNA (568 nucleotides) under uncultured archaeon. Its description in RNAcentral is "bacterial SSU rRNA". It matches the Rfam family "Archaeal small subunit ribosomal RNA", at positions 1 to 566 of the family's 1478-position model. The record is from RNAcentral.